UACGUAGGGCGCAAGCGUUGUCCGGAAUUAUUGGGCGUAAAGAGCUCGUAGGCGGCUUGUCACGUCGGGUGUGAAAGCCCGGGGCUUAACCCCCGGGUCUGCAUUCGAUACGGGCAGGCUAGAGUGUGGUAGGGGAGAUCGGAAUCCUGGUGUAGCGGUGAAAUGCGCAGAUAUCAGGAGGAACACCGGUGGCGAAGGCGGAUCUCUGGGCCAUUACUGACGCUGAGGAGCGAAAGCGUGGGGAGCGAACAGG
This 253-nucleotide ribosomal RNA is filed under the name uncultured bacterium. Its description in RNAcentral is "partial 16S ribosomal RNA". It matches the Rfam family "Bacterial small subunit ribosomal RNA", at positions 524 to 776 of the family's 1533-position model. The record is from RNAcentral.